UACGAAGGGGGCUAGCGUUGCUCGGAAUCACUGGGCGUAAAGGGUGCGUAGGCGGGUUUUUAAGUCAGGGGUGAAAUCCUGGAGCUCAACUCCAGAACUGCCUUUGAUACUGAAGAUCUUGAGUCCGGAAGAGGUGAGUGGAAUUCCGAGUGUAGAGGUGAAAUUCGUAGAUAUUCGGAGGAACACCAGUGGCGAAGGCGGCUCACUGGUCCAUUACUGACGCUGAGGUGCGAAAGCGUGGGGAGCAAACAGG
Molecule: ribosomal RNA, 253 nt
Filed under: uncultured bacterium
Lineage: Bacteria
Description: partial 16S ribosomal RNA
Rfam family: Bacterial small subunit ribosomal RNA
Source: RNAcentral